GAGUUUGAUCUUGGCUCAGAUUGAACGCUGGCGGCAUGCCUUACACAUGCAAGUCGAACGGCAGCGGGGGAAAGCUUGCUUUCCUGCCGGCGAGUGGCGAACGGGUGAGUAAUACAUCGGAACGUGCCCUGUAGUGGGGGAUAACUAGUCGAAAGAUUAGCUAAUACCGCAUACGACCUGAGGGUGAAAGUGGGGGACCGCAAGGCCUCAUGCUAUAGGAGCGGCCGAUGUCUGAUUAGCUAGUUGGUGGGGUAAAGGCCUACCAAGGCGACGAUCAGUAGCUGGUCUGAGAGGACGAUCAGCCACACUGGGACUGAGACACGGCCCAGACUCCUACGGGAGGCAGCAGUGGGGAAUUUUGGACAAUGGGCGAAAGCCUGAUCCAGCAAUGCCGCGUGUGUGAAGAAGGCC
Molecule: ribosomal RNA, 411 nt
Filed under: uncultured beta proteobacterium
Lineage: Bacteria; Pseudomonadati; Pseudomonadota; Betaproteobacteria
Description: bacterial SSU rRNA
Rfam family: Bacterial small subunit ribosomal RNA
Source: RNAcentral